Brassica napus (rape) is the source of this 132-nucleotide non-coding RNA. The record is from Rfam. NCBI's taxonomy places the organism in Eukaryota, Viridiplantae, Streptophyta, Magnoliopsida, Brassicales, Brassicaceae.
UGAAUAUGAGAAACCGUCUCUUAAUUUUUAACUAAAAAAGUUAAGAGCCGGCUCUUAAAUAAGAUAUUUAAGAGUCGGCUCUUAACUUUUUUAAUUAAAAUUUUUUAGUUAAGAGACGGUUUCUUAUAUUCC